ACCGUGCUGUCUCCUCCUAUAUUGCAGCGCGGGCCGCGCUGCGUUAAUGUCCCAGGUGCCCACGUCUAAAAUCGAUACCUUGCCUCUCCUUAACCUAAUCAAACUCUUUCACCACUCCUUCACCUCUCCUUCACCUAAUAAAAUUCCACCACUUCUCUUCCACUACUUCAAAUUCCAACCCUCAUUAAAAUCACCAAGCAUGACAACAUCUCAUAACUCCUUAUCC
RNAcentral lists this long non-coding RNA (226 nucleotides) under Panax ginseng (ginseng). Its description in RNAcentral is "long non-coding RNA (PGIN_LNC008257)". The record is from RNAcentral. Lineage: Eukaryota; Viridiplantae; Streptophyta; Magnoliopsida; Apiales; Araliaceae.